This is a small nucleolar RNA of Rattus norvegicus (Norway rat), 91 nucleotides long. Ensembl annotates it as small nucleolar RNA SNORA70. The record is from Ensembl. Lineage: Eukaryota; Metazoa; Chordata; Mammalia; Rodentia; Muridae.
AUGGUGGGCAGUGGCUGCACAGAGCAACCUCUUUGGGAGUAUGUGUACCCUGUUGCCAACGUGGUUGUCCCAAGGGACCUUGGGAACAAUU